AUCUUUUAUUUUCCAUUUUGCCGUCACAUCACACAACCUCUAUCCGCAGGGAGGGCAAGGCCUGGAAGCCCUCGUCAAACGGUUUCAUUUACCUCCAACUGCCAGAAACCGGGGGAAGCAGGGCCUUUAGAAGAAUCGAGGUGUAUCUGUGUUUUUUUUGAAAGGAGAUGUUUGUCCAGGUUCAAGCACUGCACCCUCUGUGGCAAGCGUCCCAGGUCCCAGGUCUCAGCCUGUCUCAAUUGCAUAGAAGAGAGACCCAGGAAAGGAAAGAUCAUAAUCCCUGAUAAUCUGCAGGUGAAAGGUUUGAAUGUUGGGUCCUGGGUCACCUUUGUGGCAAGUCACUUUUUAUACCCUAACCCGAUAUAAAGGGACUUUUCACAUAUACAUGUGAUGUCCUUUUCAAAGGAAGACCGUUGAACCAAGGAAUUAUUAUCUUGGUGUGUGUGUGUGUGUGUGUGUGUGUGUGUGUACAUUUCUCUCUGGAUACUAGAUGUCUGGUGUGUGUCCUUAAAUUUUCAAUCUUCCUUCCCUACUCCAGUAACAGUUGGAAGUGUCUAUCCCUCAGUUGCUGAUUUAUUAUUUAGAACAUGUUAAAGAGGAACUGGGACCCAAUCUCUGAAAACUUAACUCGGAGGAGCUAUUGAAACAGCAGGAUCCGCAUGCUUAAAACCAGGUACAGGAUAGAGGACAGUUGAAUCCUUGCAAUUUCUGAGCCUGUCUCCAAAUCCUCAAUACCUAUUAUUAUUAUUAUUUUUUUUUUUUGUCUUUUUGCUAUUUCUUUGGGCCGCUCCGCGGCAUAUGGAGGUUCCCAGGCUAGGGGUUGAAUCGGAGCUGUAGCCACCGGCCCAUGCCAGAGCCACAGCACCGCGGGAUCCAAGCCGCGUCUGCAACCUACACCACAGCUCACAGCAACACCGGAUCGUUAACCCACUGAGUGAGGCCAGGGACCGAACCUGCAACCUCAUGGUUCCUAGUUGGAUUCGUUAACCACUGUGCCACGACGGGAACUCCUGUCAUUUUUCACCUUGCACAGCAAGGUGACCCAGUCACACAUACAGGUGUACAUUCUUUUUUUCUCACGUUGUCAUGCUCCAUCACAAGUGACCAGAUGUAGUUCUCAGUGCUGUACAGCAGGAUCCCAUUGCUUAUCCAUGUUAUUUUCUUUUUUAACAUUAUUAUUUUUAUAGCCAUCCUAGUGGAUGUGAUAUCCAUAUUAUUCUUUUUCAAAAUUUUGUUGAGGGAAUUCCUGUUGUGCCUCAGCAGGUUAAGAACCCAACCAGUAUCCAUGAGGAUGAGGGUUCAAUCCCUGGCCUUGCUCAGGGGGUUAAGGAUCCAGUGUUGCCACAAGCUGCAGCAUAGGUCACAG
RNAcentral lists this long non-coding RNA (1366 nucleotides) under Sus scrofa (pig). RNAcentral's name for it is "lncRNA (ENSSSCG00070018347.1)". Lineage: Eukaryota; Metazoa; Chordata; Mammalia; Artiodactyla; Suidae. The record is from RNAcentral.